This 513-nucleotide ribosomal RNA is filed under the name uncultured bacterium. RNAcentral describes it as "partial 16S ribosomal RNA". It matches the Rfam family "Bacterial small subunit ribosomal RNA", at positions 28 to 522 of the family's 1533-position model. The record is from RNAcentral.
GAUGAACGCUGGCGGCGUGCCUAAUACAUGCAAGUCGAGCGAAUGGAUUAAGAGCUUGCUCUUAUGAAGUUAGCGGCGGACGGGUGAGUAACACGUGGGUAACCUGCCCAUAAGACUGGGAUAACUCCGGGAAACCGGGGCUAAUACCGGAUAACAUUUUGAACCGCAUGGUUCGAAAUUGAAAGGCGGCUUCGGCUGUCACUUAUGGAUGGACCCGCGGCGCAUUAGCUAGUUGGUGAGGUAACGGCUCACCAAGGCAACGAUGCGUAGCCGACCUGAGAGGGUGAUCGGCCACACUGGGACUGAGACACGGCCCAGACUCCUACGGGAGGCAGCAGUAGGGAAUCUACCGCAAUGACGAAAGUCUGACGGAGCAACGCCGCGUGAGUGAUGAAGGCUUUCGGGUCGUAAAACUCUGUUGUUAGGGAAGAACAAGUGCUAGUUGAAUAAGCUGGCACCUUGACGGUACCUAACCAGAAAGCCACGGCUAACUACGUGCCAGCAGCCGCGUAA